CGCGAAGAACCUUACCUGGGCUUGAAUUGCAGAGGAAGGAUUUAGAGAUAAUGACGCCCUUCGGGGCCUCUGUGAAGGUGCUGCAUGGUUGUCGUCAGCUCGUGCCGUGAGGUGUCGGCUUAAGUGCCAUAACGAGCGCAACCCCUCUCUUCAGUUGCCAUCAGGUUAAGCUGGGCACUCUGGAGACACUGCCACCGUAAGGUGUGAGGAAGGUGGGGAUGACGUCAAAUCAGCACGGCCCUUACGUCCGGGGCUACACACGUGUUACAAUGGCCGGUACAGAGGGACGGUGUAAUGCAAAUUGCAUCAAAUCUUGAAAGCCGGUCCCAGUUCGGACUGGGGUCUGCAACCCGACCCCACGAAGCUGGAUUCGCUAGUAAUCGCGCAUCAGCCAUGGCGCGGUGAAUACGUUCCCGGGCCUUGUACACACCGCCCGUC
Molecule: ribosomal RNA, 438 nt
Filed under: uncultured Prevotella sp.
Lineage: Bacteria; Pseudomonadati; Bacteroidota; Bacteroidia; Bacteroidales; Prevotellaceae
Description: bacterial SSU rRNA
Rfam family: Bacterial small subunit ribosomal RNA
Source: RNAcentral